CUGAAAUUGACUCUCUACAAAAAACCAUGGAGAUACAAGUUAUCCCCGCCCUCGAAGCUAACUAAACCCCCUGGGAGUAGUCCUGUCGUCAAAUACACGUCACAGAGAUCACCACAUAUAUCUAAGAAAAUUAUAUCGCCGAUGAAAACUUCGACACCUAUUAGACGAAAUCUGUUCGCCCAAAAUCACGAAAUAUUCGAAACAACACAGGCAGAUAUACAGAUGAUUCUAAAAACACAAAAUUUGAUAUUGUUUAAAUAUUUUGAUUUAUACAAUAAAUCACCAAAUAUUCUUUAUAUGAAUAAAG
This 307-nucleotide long non-coding RNA is filed under the name Mytilus galloprovincialis (Mediterranean mussel). Lineage: Eukaryota; Metazoa; Mollusca; Bivalvia; Mytilida; Mytilidae. The record is from RNAcentral.